RNAcentral lists this ribosomal RNA (254 nucleotides) under uncultured bacterium. RNAcentral describes it as "partial 16S ribosomal RNA". It matches the Rfam family "Bacterial small subunit ribosomal RNA", at positions 524 to 776 of the family's 1533-position model. The record is from RNAcentral.
UACGUAGGAUCCAAGCGUUAUCCGGAAUUACUGGGUGUAAAGAGUUGCGUAGGUGGCAGAGUAAGUAUGGAGUGAAAGCGUUCGGCUCAACCGAAUAAACAUUUCAUAAACUGCUCAGCUAGAGAACGAGAGAGGUAGAUGGAAUUCCCAGUGUAGGAGUGAAAUCCGUAGAUAUUGGGAGGAACACCGAUGGCGUAGGCAGUCUACUGGCUCGUUUCUGACACUAAGGCACGAAAGCGUGGGUAGCAAACAGG